AGCGAACGCUGGCGGCAGGCCUAACACAUGCAAGUCGAACGAACCUUUCGGGGUUAGUGGCGGACGGGUGAGUAACACGUGGGAACGUGCCUUUAGGUUCGGAAUAACUCAGGGAAACUUGUGCUAAUACCGAAUGUGCCCUUCGGGGGAAAGAUUUAUCGCCUUUAGAGCGGCCCGCGUCUGAUUAGCUAGUUGGUUGAGGUAAUGGCUCACCAAGGCGACGAUCAGUAGCUGGUCUGAGAGGAUGAUCAGCCACAUUGGGACUGAGACACGGCCCCAACUCCUACGGGAGGCAGCAGUGGGGAAUCUUGCGGAAUGGGCGAAAGCCUGACGCAGCCCUGCCGCGUGAAUGAUGAAGGUCUUAGGAUUGUAAAAUUCUUUCACCGGGGACGAUAAUGACGGUACCCGGAGAAGAAGCCCCGGCUAACUUCGUG
RNAcentral lists this ribosomal RNA (434 nucleotides) under uncultured bacterium. RNAcentral's name for it is "partial 16S ribosomal RNA". It matches the Rfam family "Bacterial small subunit ribosomal RNA", at positions 29 to 507 of the family's 1533-position model. The record is from RNAcentral.